GACGAACGCUGGCGGCGUGCUUAACACAUGCAAGUCGAACGGAAAGGCCCUGCUUUUGUGGUGUGCUCGAGUGGCGAACGGGUGAGUAACACGUGAGUAACCUGCCCUUGACUUUGGGAUAACUUCAGGAAACUGGGGCUAAUACCGGAUAGGAGCUCCUGCUGCAUGGUGGGGGUUGGAAAGUUUCGGCGGUUGGGGAUGGACUCGCGGCUUAUCAGCUUGUUGGUGGGGUAGUGGCUUACCAAGGCUUUGACGGGUAGCCGGCCUGCGAGGGUGACCGGCCACAUUGGGACUGAGAUACGGCCCAGACUCCUACGGGAGGCAGCAGUGGAGAAUAUUGCACAAUGGGCGGAAGCCUGAUGCAGCAACGCCGCGUGCGGGAUGACGGCCUUCGGGUUGUAAACCGCUUUCGCCUGUGACGAAGCGUGAGUGACGGUAAUGGGUAAAGAAGCACCGGCUAACUACGUG
Molecule: ribosomal RNA, 468 nt
Filed under: uncultured bacterium
Lineage: Bacteria
Description: partial 16S ribosomal RNA
Rfam family: Bacterial small subunit ribosomal RNA
Source: RNAcentral